RNAcentral lists this ribosomal RNA (508 nucleotides) under uncultured bacterium. Its description in RNAcentral is "partial 16S ribosomal RNA". It matches the Rfam family "Bacterial small subunit ribosomal RNA", at positions 28 to 507 of the family's 1533-position model. The record is from RNAcentral.
GACGAACGCUGGCGGCGUGCCUAAUACAUGCAAGUCGAGCGCUUCUUUCCUCCCGAGUGCUUGCACUCAAUUGGAAAGAGGAGUGGCGGACGGGUGAGUAACACGUGGGUAACCUACCCAUCAGAGGGGGAUAACACUUGGAAACAGGUGCUAAUACCGCAUAACAGUUUAUGCCGCAUGGCAUAAGAGUGAAAGGCGCUUUCGGGCGUCGCUGAUGGAUGGACCCGCGGUGCAUUAGCUAGUUGGUGAGGUAACGGCUCACCAAGGCCACGAUGCAUAGCCGACCUGAGAGGGUGAUCGGCCACACUGGGACUGAGACACGGCCCAGACUCCUACGGGAGGCAGCAGUAGGGAAUCUUCGGCAAUGGACGAAAGUCUGACCGAGCAACGCCGCGUGAGUGAAGAAGGUUUUCGGAUCGUAAAACUCUGUUGUUAGAGAAGAACAAGGACGUUAGUAACUGAACGUCCCCUGACGGUAUCUAACCAGAAAGCCACGGCUAACUACGUG